This 6327-nucleotide long non-coding RNA is filed under the name Homo sapiens (human). RNAcentral's name for it is "HSALNT0024038". Lineage: Eukaryota; Metazoa; Chordata; Mammalia; Primates; Hominidae. The record is from RNAcentral.
CCAACAUUCAGCCUCCUCUGCCCAUCAGCCUUGCUGACACAGGGAGUGGAGAUUUGUGUAGAGAAAUGACUCAUUCAAAUAUGACUUAAUCUAAACCGUAAGUGUAUGAUUUAUUAAUGUGCCACCAGGCCUUACACCAAGAGAGCCAUUCCAGAGAAAAGUCCUUUUUCUCCUGAGAACAGUGCCAGCAGCUGGCUUCGUGACAUUCUGGAAGCCCCGUGCAAUGCUGUCAGGAGCAUAGGGAUUUUACUUUAUCUCCCUUGCUUAUGCUCCACAUAACUGAAAUAUCUCACUGGAAGCUGCAGCAGUGCUGGCCCCUUGCACAGCCAUAUGUGACCACUGCAGAACAAUCAGUUGGAGAGACAGUUUGGACUACAUGGAGGGUGGAGAUAAGGACAAAGUGAAGAAUACACAGGAACCAGUGCCUCCUCCUGGAACUAUGCAACUCCAAGCUGCUUCCAUCAGCUGCUAGGUCCAGUAGGGAGGGACCUACUGAGAGCAUUGCCAGAAAACUCAUUUCUCAGUGACACCAUUGUAAUUACUCAUUUGAUUAUCCCGCAAUACACAUAUAAGAGUCUCAGGAAAACAGUACCAUCAGCAUUAUAUGGUAAUAUCUACAAGCACUUUAAUAUUUUCUUAUUGGGGGUACACUUUUUUCCAUAGAGAAUAUUUUACUAGGUAAGAACAAUAAUAUUGAUAUGUUUUAAUUUUUCUUGAAGUGGUUCUUCUGUAUGAGGUUAUAUCACCAAGUAGAUAUACAGUUAUAAUGUUUGAUUAUUACACAUUGCUUUUCUUAAAAUUUAAUUUUGUUUUAAAGCUAUUAAAAUCAGGUUUCUUAAAGAAAGAUCCUCAUUCUAUCUGGAUCAAAAUCACUUUCAGAGCUAAUUAAAAAUGUGGUGUCCUGGACUCACGAAGCCAGAAUUGCUGAGGAGAUAGCCCGAGAAUCUGAAUUUUUAGCAGACAUUUUUUUAGGGUGUGGGGAAGAGCGAGAAAAAGAUUUCCGCUCUGGAAGGUAAACAAAUACUCUCUGGAGAGAGAAGAGGAAUGUCCCUAGCAGAUGUCUCCAGAGAAGACAAGACUUUAAAUUCCGCCAGGGAAAUAUACAAUGUCUAACUUCUAAGGCACAUUUGCCAUUCAAUCAUGCUUUAACCCACGUUGCCAGAAAUUUUUGCUCACUAGGUUUUGACUGUACAGGAAUGUGAAAAUAUUCAUGAAGAGUUGUUUUCCAAUGCUAAAGAAUUGAUGUGUUUUAACAGUUGAAUUAAUUGUAUUGAUUAUGAUCACACCUACUUUUUAUAUAUCUUCAUUUCUAACGUUUCUGUACAAUCCUGCCUUUCCACCUGAUAUAGUUAGGCCUUGUGUCAUCAACCAAAUCUCAUCUUGAAUUGUAAUCGCCAUAAUCCCCACGUAUUUAGGGAGAGACCUGGAGGGAGGUGUUUGGAUCAUGGGGGCGGUUUCCCGCAUGCUGUUCUCAUGACCAUGAGAGUAAGUUCUCAAGAGAUCUGAUGGUUUUAUAAGCGUCUGUCAUUUCCACUGCUUGCACUUCUGUGUCCUGCCACCUUGUGAAGAAGGACGUGGUUGCUUCCCCUUCCACCAUGAUUGUGUUUCCUGAGGCCUCCCCAGCCUUGCAGAGCUGUGAGUCAAUUAAACCUCUUUCCUUUAUAAAUUACUCAGUCUCUGUAUUCCUCUGCAGCAGUGUGAGAACAGACUAAUACAUCACCACUUUAUUUACUUUACUCUCUCCCCAUACCGAGGUUUUCUACAUUUUCUUUCUAGGUCUCUACAGUUUCUGCAAAGAUCCUUUAUGGAACUCUUAGGGAAGCUGGGAUGUAUAAUAAAUAAAGGGCUCUUUUCUUUGAGUCCCACACCCAUUUUCUGUGUAUAAAAAUCUUCAACUCCACUUUUGUCUGUUCUAUUUAAAUGUGUGCACAUUUCCUUCUAAUGUUGUAUAUGAAAAAGAGACACCUCUUAGCAGUCUUUCAUAGAGCAAAAUUUUUUACUUUGAUAAAAUCUAAUUUAUCAAUAUUUUUAAAUUUUAUGGAUCAAUCAUGCUUUUGAGGUUGAAUUUAAGAAUGCUUUGCCUAGCCCUAGAUCCCAAGUAUCUUUUAAAAAUUAUUUUUCUAAAUGCAUUAUUUAUGUUUUACACUUAAGUCUAUAAUCCAUUUUGAGUCCAUGUGUAAGAUUUAGGUUAAGGUCAAGAUUUAUCUGUUUUUGUUGUUUUCUCUAUAAAUGUCAAUUGCUCCAGCACUAUUUGUUUAAAAGCCAAUCUUUCCUCCGCUGAGUUCUUCCUAUAAGUUUGUCAAAAGUCAAUUUGGCAUCUUUGUAUAAGUUUAUUUCUGGAUUCUCUAUUCUGUUUUAUUGAUCACUGCAUCUAUCCCUCUUGAUUAGCUAGAUAAUAAAUCCUACAAUAAGGUAGAAUUCUUCCCACUUUAUUCAUAUUCAAAAUAUUUUAAAGCUAUUCUAGUUUCUUUUUAUUUCCAUAUAUAUUUUAGGAUAAUCUUAUCUAUAUUUACAACAUAUGUUGCUAGGAUUUUGAUAGAAUUUGUUUUAAAUUUGUGUAUCAAUGUAGGGAAGACCUGACAUCUUUACUAUUACGUUGAUCUUCCAAUCAAUGAAUAUGGUAUAUCUCUCAGUUUAUAGCUAUUGUCUUUAAUUUAUUUCAUCAUGGUUUUUAGUUUUCAGCAGAGAAGCUUUAUACAUGUUUUGUUAUACAUGUAUAACAAAAGAAGCCUUAUACACUGACAUUUUAUAUUUUGAACAAUUGUAAAUGGUAUUGUUUAAAAAUUUUGUUGUCUAUGAUAGAAAUAAAAUUGAUUUUUGUAGGUUUAUCUUGUAACCUAUGACUUGCUGAGCUCGCUCAUUAGUUUUUUUAUUGUGAUAAAAUAUACAUGAGAUAAAUUUCAUCAUUAUAAUCAUUAAGUUUAGACAUCAAUUGCAUUAAGUACAUAAAUGCCUUAUGCAACCAUCAUCUCUAUCCAUCUCCAGACCCUUUGCAUCACCCUAAAAUGAAACUCUGUGCCCAUUAAACAAUAACUCCCCAUUCUGCCCUCACCCCAGCCCUUGGUAAUUACCAUCCUACCUUUUAUCUCUAUAAAUUUAACCAUCCCAGGUAACUCAUAUAAGUGGAAUCAUGCAGUGUUUGUCCUUUUGUAACUGGUUUAUUUCACUUAGCAUGAUGUCUUCAAGGUUUGCCUAUGUCAUAGCAUGUGUCAGAAUUUCAUCCCUUUUUAAACUUAAAUAAUAUUCCACUGUAGGCAUAUGCCACAUUUUGUUUAUUUGUUCAUCUGUUGAUGGGCAUUUGGGUUGUUUCCACCUUUUGGCUACUGUGAAUAAUGCUGCUGUGAUCAUGGGUAUGCAACUGUCUCCUGGAGUCCCUGCUAUCAAUUCUUGUGGGUAUAUACCCAGAAGUGGAAUUGUUGCAACAUAUAGUAAUUCUAUGUUUAAUUUUUUGAGGACCUGCCAUAAUGUUUUCCACAGUAGCUACAUUGUCUUAUAUUCCCAUUAAGAGUUCCAAUUUCCUCACAUCUUCACCAAUACUUAUUGUUUUCUGUUUUUUUAAAUAAUAGCCAUCAUAAUAAAAGUAACAUGGUAUCUCAUUGUGGUUUUAACUGCAUUUCCCUUUUUACUGGAUUGUUUGUAAUAUUGCUGUAAUUGAGUUGUAGGAGUUUUUAAAUAUGUUCUGAAUAAUUAAUUUCUUAUCAGAUAUGUCAUUUGCAAAUAUUUUCUGCCAUUCUCUGGGUUGUCAUUUCACUCUCUUGAUAGUGUCCUUUGAUGCACAGAAGUUUUGAAAUUUGAUAAAGUUUAAUUUGCGUAUGUAUUUAUUUUGUUGCUUAUGCUUUUGGUGUCAUAUCCAAGAAAUUAUUGCCAAAUUCAGUGUCAUGAAGAUUUUCCCCUGUGUUUUCCUCUAAGAGUAUUAUAGUUUUAACUCUUGCACUUAGAUUGAUCCGCUUUGAGUUAAUUUUAGUAUAUGGGGUAAGACAAGGGCUCAAAUUUGUUCUUUUGUUUGAAGAUUCUAGGUCAUUUGUGAUCUUUAGGAUUUUCUAUGUAGACAUUAAUGUCAUCUUCAAAUAUGAACAGUUUAUUUCUUCCUUUUGUAUAUGUAUGAAUUUACUUUCCUUUUCUUGCCUUAUUGCACUGGCUAGAGUUUUCAGUACUAUGAUGAAUAAAAUCAGUGAGAGCAGACACCCUUGCUUUGUUUCUAAUCUUAGGAGGAAAGCUUUCAGUCUUUCAUCAUUAGGUAUACUGUUAGUUGUAGGCUUAUUAUAGAUGCUCUUUAUCAGGUUGAGGCAGUUUCCUCCUUGGUUAAGACUUUCUAUUUUUCAUUUUCAGUUAUGACCAGGCAUGUUCAUAACUGCUCAUCAAAACUUUGAAUUAGUGGCUGCUUUAACAUCCUUCUCAGACAAUUCUAACAUCUGUUUUGUUGGUGGUGGCAUCUAUCAAUUGUCUUUUUCAUUCUGUUUGAGAUCUUCCUUGCGUUUGGUAUGAUUUUUUUAAAUAUUAUGUCAUGAAACUGCAUCUUAUUUAAAUCUUCUGUUUUAGUUGGCUAUGUCUGACAUCACUUCCCCAGGGGAAGGUGUUGUUACUGCUAGUGGAGGGUGAGAAUUAUGGCUCUCCACUGACAUUGUGGUGGGAUUGGUCCCAUUACCACUGGGCAGGGUUGAAAGUCCUGACUUUCUGCUAGGCCUUCUCUGACUUCAUCGCAGCAGGAGGAAAAGAUGCCUCUGGAGUUGAAGUCAGGUUGCACUGACACUGUGUGUGUAUGGAGGUAGGCUGGGGUGAAAGUGGAGACUCAUUACCACAUGGUGAGUAGUUUCCAGCUCUCUAUUUGGCCUUCUCUGAUACCACCCAGACAGGGACAUUGGGGAUACCUCAUUACAGCCUAGUGAGGGUCAAACUCUAGGCUCCCCACUCAGUCUUUGCUAUCAUGGACACUGUAGGACCAUAGUUUUUUCUGUGCUGUUUGCUUGAUGUGUCUUCCUUGGACCCUGAGUUCCAUAGCUGGUCUGCAUUCCUCUCUCCACCUUUAAGACGUCUUCUUAUGUUUAUUUCAUAUUUAACAUCCAGGGUGGUAAUUAGAGGGAAGAAUAGAGGGAAAAGUACAGUUGCACUUUGUUGUUCAAAGAGCAGUUUUGAACUGCACAGACCCAUUUCUCUGAGCACACCCAGGGAUGAUUGUACUUGUAUAAAAUUUUUUUCCUGGAUGCAGAAUUCUCAAUUGACUGUGAAAGUUCAUAACAAAGAAAACAGUGGGGAAGACAAAUCUGGAAAUGAGGAAAAUAAAAAUUAAAUAGUGAGACCACCCAUGGAGCUUGUGGCAAAGCCUGAAUUGAAUCCGCUGUAUCUUAAGAUUGUGCCUCAUUCUAAAUUUAAGUCACCCUUCUCAUUAUGAAAGUGUCACAACUUCUCAGUAGGUGAGGAGACAGUCUAAAUUUGAGAAAAGAAAGUUACAACAAAGGUUUUGAGCAAGCUGCUAAGUGGAUUUAUUCAUGUUUGAGAAAUCAAAUAUAUGGUUAAUGAGCUCUUUAACUAGAAGCCAACACUAGGGAGGAGUAGACAGAAGUCACGGGGAGGGAGCCCCCGGACAUUUCAAAAGACUUUGCCCUGCAACAUCUCCUCCACAUUUAAGCUUUUAGGUUAUUGUAGCCACAUCACAAGCAUGUUACCUACCCAGAUAUUGUCUGCGCAUCAUUCCCAAAAGCUUCCCUGGGUCUUCAUAAUAUUAAUGAGAUUCUCCCCCAGGUUAGACCCCUUUGGCUUGAGUCAGAAACAGAAUUAAUCCGGGGGACAAUCCAGCAGCACCCAUCUCUGGGUUGCAGAAAUAUCUGAGGUGACCAGGCAGUGUUUGGAGUCCCCUCAGUUAGCUAACAAAGUGAGUUCACAGCUUCCAAGACCCCAGGCUUUCCAGGCUAAUAAAGAGCUGAGGUUAUAGGCUCUCCUUAUCAAACGCUCUUUGGCAGCUGCCAUAACCAUUCCAAGUCUAGUCCUAGAAUAGAAAUGACGCGGUUUCAGGAGCUGACAGAUGGAACUUUAAGCCUUCCUUCCUGCCACAUCUGAAGUUCUUUUUUAAAAAAAUAGAAAACCAUGACAAUAAACACUCCUUGAAUGCCCUGUGGAAAAGUGUACUCCUCAGAAUUCACUAAAGUGGGGUGAAGCAGUGGGUUGUGGUGCUGAGAAAACAUCUCUUCCCCUCGGCAGUAUAUUGGAAUCUCAUAGAAACUUCUGUGGCUGGGAAGCAAACAUGCUCUCUGCCCCAUUGCUCUUAUUCAUCUUUAGACCUGAUAAUACAGUUUGAACUUCAAGUUGCACUUUAAAUGGCAUGCAUUUUUA